RNAcentral lists this unclassified non-coding RNA (389 nucleotides) under Hevea brasiliensis (rubber tree). The record is from RNAcentral. Lineage: Eukaryota; Viridiplantae; Streptophyta; Magnoliopsida; Malpighiales; Euphorbiaceae.
UGAGCCUGAUCCUCAUCACCACUGCAAAAAAGUCAAAAGGAUAUUGCCAGCAAGAAGGGGAAUAAUCACACUAAUGUCUUAUUACCAAGUUUUGUCAGUUUGAAAAAAAAAUGGCAGGUGUUUGUGUGUGUCUGUUAAGGGCUACAGAAACUUAGCAAUUGUUUUAUUCUCCAAAGAAUCUAUCAUUUGUUGCAAAUAUAACUCAAACCCCAUCUGAAUCUUAUAAGGUUUCAAAUUGUAUACUUAGGAUUGUUAAGGUUCCAAAGAGAUAAGUCCUAGAAUUGUAAAUAAAUUGUAUACUUUACAGGAUGUAUAAACUACCACUAAUGUUCAAAGUUUAAUAGAAGCAUUUAUAAUGUAACACCCAGAGGAAAAUACCUAUCCUGAAG